RNAcentral lists this ribosomal RNA (426 nucleotides) under uncultured bacterium. RNAcentral describes it as "bacterial SSU rRNA". It matches the Rfam family "Bacterial small subunit ribosomal RNA", at positions 354 to 796 of the family's 1533-position model. The record is from RNAcentral.
GUAAGGGAUAUUGCGCAAUGGGCGAAAGCCUGACGCAGCAACGCCGCGUGAAGGAUGAAGGCCUUCGGGUCGUAAACUUCUUUUGACGCUGACGAGGAAGGACGGUAGGCGUCGAAUAAGCCACGGCUAACUACGUGCCAGCAGCCGCGGUAAAACGUAGGUGGCGAGCGUUAUCCGGAUUUACUGGGCGUAAAGCGUGUGCAGGCGGCCGGUCAAGUGGUGUAUGAAAUCGCCAGGCUCAACCUGGCGGGGUUAUGCCAGACUGACCGGCUAGAGGGCGAGAGAGGGGCGUGGAAUUCCGGGUGUAGUGGUGAAAUGCGUAGAGAUCCGGAGGAACCCCAGAGGCGAAGGCGGCGCCCUGGCUCGCCACUGACGCUCAGACACGACAGCAUGGGGAGCGAACGGGAUUAGAAACCCUGGUAGUCC